Molecule: long non-coding RNA, 1812 nt
Filed under: Triticum aestivum (bread wheat)
Lineage: Eukaryota; Viridiplantae; Streptophyta; Magnoliopsida; Poales; Poaceae
Description: long non-coding RNA (TAES_LNC009740)
Source: RNAcentral
AAGCAUUUGUGUGUUGUCAGGUUCCUUUGAUAUAUGACUUUGAUUCCCGCAUCUGAUUUCGCCUGCAGCAUCCGUGGGAGUACCUGAUGUUAGACAAGCAUCCGUGGGAGUACCUGAUAGAUUUGUCCCACCGUUGAUAUAAUCGUUUGGAGGUUCACCCUCUGUAGAACACCAAUAUAUCAGCAUAGGCACAUGUUGUUAAUGAAAAUGACCAAUAGUAGGGUGAUAGUGUAGAAUUAGAUGGUUGGAACCCAACAACGAACCAUCAUGAAGGUCUUUAAUCCAUGGUGAACUUGUUCCACCUGUAUAGUGAUACCCAGUAAAUAAAAAAAAUCAAUGAAAUAUACACUACAAAAAUAUGGUUAUCACAAUCUUGACACUUGUAAUGAGGCUGAGAGAGUACCAUAUUCAUCUAAACUAAAAUCCAAACCAUUGGUAUUCGGAGCUAUGAAUGAAUCCUCUUUAUGCUCUCCAUCUGUAGGAUGAGAACCAACAUGAAUAUAAGGACAAUGAUAAAAACGUCGUAUCUACAUGGCAACAUUCCCAACAAUAGUCACACAAGCUCUAUACCUGUAACAGUACCUGAAUUGUCCACACCACUUUGAGCUAUGGGUAAGAUGCUUGCAUUGUUAUCUUCAACUAAAAAGCAUUAUGCAUUAAUUAUGAUAGGUUAAAGCAUGCCUGUAGAAUUAACUUCAACAGUUAUCACGCUAUUUAAGCUUGCGAAUGUUCGUUAACACAUGUCUAGUACUUUCUCAUUGAAAUGUUGCAUACCUGUAGAAACGUCCUCUUCUGGUAGCUGAUCAACCGCCCUGCUUCUUGAAUUACCCAUGUGUACCUAUGAAAUUAAUUGCUAUAAUUCAGUUAAUUGCUGCAUCUGCACAUACUGGACCAGAUAUAUAAAAAACGGUGGUUUUGCUAGUGAAAUUCUGAUGUUAGCUAUGCAAAAACAAUUAUGGUCUCCCGUCAAUGUAACAUGGAGCCAUUUGGAACUCGAUGCUCACAUUGGCAUAAGACCCGUGACUUUUUACAGAUGGCAUAGAAACAUAGAUUGUUUACUAUUGCAUGGAACCUAUUAGAUUAUAAAGUGUUAUAACUACCUUAUGUUUGUGUCACUUUUUGCAUGUGAUGCUGUUUCGAGGAUGGAAAAUGGAGAUCCUCUGAAGUUGUGAGAUGCGAACUCGAUGCGAUUGCCAGAUGCUCCUGCUGAUGACACCGUCCCCGAUGCCUGUUGCCACUUGAUGAUUCACCACCUGCAAGCAUUUGGGGCUGUCAAAUAGUGAUAAACAGGUAUGACUGACAAACAUUUCCCAUUCAAAAUGGUGGUUCAUAUGGGAGGAUGACAUUAUUUCCCACUCUGAACGAUUUUAUUCAUCCAGCCUGUAGCUGCACUCAAUUACAAAACUUCUCUGUAGCCUCUUAACCACCUUAUGUUUCUGUCAACUAACCUCCAGAUGUUAGCUAUGCAAAAACAAUUAUGGUCUCCCGUCAAUGUAACAUGGAGUCAUUUGGAACUCGAUGCUCACAUUGGCAUAAGACCCGUGACUUUUUACAGAUGGCAUAGAAACAUAGAUUGUUUACUAUUGCAUGGAACCUAUUAGAUUAUAAAGUGUUAUAACUACCUUAUGUUUGUGUCACUUUUUGCAUGUGAUGCUGUUUCGAGGAUGGAAAAUGGAGAUCCUCUGAAGUUGUGAGAUGCAAACUCGAUGCGAUUGCCAGAUGCUCCUGCUGAUGAAACCGUCCCCGAUGCCUGUUGCCACUUGAUGAUUCACCACCUGCAAGCAUUUGGGGCUGUCAAAUAGUGAUAAACAG